AUACGGAGGAUCCGAGCGUUAUCCGGAUUUAUUGGGUUUAAAGGGUGCGCAGGCGGGAGAUUAAGUCGGCGGUGAAAAUUUGCAGCUCAACUGUAAAAGAGCCUUCGCAACUGGUUUUCUUGGGUGUAGAUGAAGUAGGCGGAAUUUGUGGUGUAGUGGUGAAAUGCAUAGAUAUCACGAGGAACUCCGAUUGCGCAGGCAGCGUACUAAACUACUACUGACGCUCAGGCACGAAGGCGUGGGGAUCAAACAGGAUUAGAUGCCCUGGUAGUCCACGCAGUAAACGAUGAUUACUAGCUGUUUGCGAUACAAUGUAAGCGGCUGAGCGAAAGCGUUAAGUAAUCCACCUGGGGAGUACGUUCGCAAGAAUGAAACUCAAAGGAAUUGACGGGG
Molecule: ribosomal RNA, 393 nt
Filed under: uncultured bacterium
Lineage: Bacteria
Description: partial 16S ribosomal RNA
Rfam family: Bacterial small subunit ribosomal RNA
Source: RNAcentral